Molecule: long non-coding RNA, 615 nt
Organism: Pseudoliparis swirei
Lineage: Eukaryota; Metazoa; Chordata; Actinopteri; Perciformes; Liparidae
Exons: 6
Source: RefSeq, a predicted model, not a curated record
UUCGUAAACAUGGCAGCUAUCUUUGACUUGUCGUCGUCUGAGCUCCGUGAACAGCUCCUGCUGCUGCCGCUUCCCCCUCCGGGAGGGAGACUGGGGAGAAGGCCCAGGUCAGAGGUCACACCAACCAUUAUGACAUCAUGGCCCAGGCCUUCAUGAAGCGAACAAAGAUGGGGAAGAACACCGACGGUGGCAUCGUCUUCGAGCUCUCCCCGAAAAACUUCACCACGUCUUCAAAGGCGUCCUGAUGGCGUCCAAACCAAACAAAGGCUUCCAUUGGACGGGACGUUGUUUUAUGAAUGGUUGAAUACUAACAAUGAUCUCAAGAUGAUUCAUGUUGACGCUUCAAAACAACCGAGAAGUCGUUGUUGGGUGAGCUCCAUGCCGCGCUGCAUCUCCUUGACGUCACACAGCACGUUCUCCAGACUCACUACACACAGGUCUAAACUCUGCAGUCUGAAUCCGUAGACCGCUCCUCUCUUGCUGCUGUUCAUGUAGUUCCCCAGAGCCAAGAUGAUCUACGGAAGCAGGAUUGCCUCAUCGUUGAUGUCGUUGAAGACAGUCCCGUUGAUCUGACUUGGCUUCAGGGCAACCCAGUUCAACACCGGCAUCCUAAAC